GCUGGGUGCGGUAGCACACGCCUGUAAUCCCAGCAGUUCAGGAGUCUGAGACAGGAGGAUUGCAAGUUCAAAGCCAGCCUCAGCAAUGGCGAGGUGCUUAGCAACUCAGUGAGAUCCUGUCUCUA
This 125-nucleotide small RNA is filed under the name Marmota monax (woodchuck). Lineage: Eukaryota; Metazoa; Chordata; Mammalia; Rodentia; Sciuridae. The record is from RNAcentral.